Molecule: ribosomal RNA, 438 nt
Filed under: uncultured Alphaproteobacteria bacterium
Lineage: Bacteria; Pseudomonadati; Pseudomonadota; Alphaproteobacteria
Description: bacterial SSU rRNA
Rfam family: Bacterial small subunit ribosomal RNA
Source: RNAcentral
CAGGCCUAACACAUGCAAGUCGAGCGCCGUAGCAAUACGGAGCGGCAGACGGGAGAGUAACACGUGGGAACGUGCCCUUCAGUCCGGAACAACCCAGGGAAACUUGGGCUAAUACCGGAUACGUCCGUAAGGAGAAAGAUUUAUCGCUGAAGGAUCGGCCCGCGUCUGAUUAGCUAGUUGGUGGGGUAACGGCCCACCAAGGCGACGAUCAGUAGCUGGUCUGAGAGGAUGAUCAGCCUCACUGGGACUGAGACACGGCCCAGACUCCUACGGGAGGCAGCAGUGGGGAAUAUUGGACAAUGGGCGCAAGCCUGAUCCAGCCAUGCCGCGUGGGUGAUGAAGGCCCUAGGGUUGUAAAGCCCUUUCGGCGGGGAAGAUAAUGACGGUACCCGCAGAAGAAGCCCCGGCUAACUUCGUGCCAGCAGCCGCGGUAAUACA